AAUAAAAGUUAAUGAAAUAAAUGAAUAAAACAUGUUUGAGGUGAAAAUAACAAGGCCAUUUCUUCUUCUUCUUGCCGUGAGUUGAGAAAGAAAAUAGAAACCUUUGAGCUUAGGGCAUUCGGCAAAAGAAGGCUUCAAAUAAGGUUGUGGAUUCUGACUACCAGUUCGGGGAUCAUCAGCACUUCGUCACACUAUCUACCAUUACGGCAACUAUGUAAUUAGACUUAGCUUAUGGCAUGUAUAGGAUAGACAAUAUAGUAGAAUGAUAUUUUGACUAUUGUAUAUAAGCCAUAUGAAAAUGGCAUCUUUUGGAUGUUUACUUAUAGAAGUUUACAUUUUAUC
Molecule: long non-coding RNA, 342 nt
Organism: Gossypium arboreum
Lineage: Eukaryota; Viridiplantae; Streptophyta; Magnoliopsida; Malvales; Malvaceae
Exons: 2
Source: RefSeq, a predicted model, not a curated record